AUUGAACGCUGGCGGCAGGCCUAACACAUGCAAGUCGAGCGGAUGAAGGGAGCUUGCUCCUGGAUUCAGCGGCGGACGGGUGAGUAAUGCCUAGGAAUCUGCCUGGUAGUGGGGGAUAACGUCCUGAAACGGGCGCUAAUAACGCAUACGUCCUGAGGGAGAAAGUGGGGGGUCUUCGGACCUCACGCUAUCAGAUGAGCCUAGGUCGGAUUAGCUAGUUGGUGGGGUAAAGGCUUACCAAGGCGACGAUCCGUAACUGGUCUGAGAGGAUGAUCAGUCACACUAGAACUGAGACACGGUCCAGACUCCUGCGGGAGGCAGCAGUGGGGAAGAUUGGACAAAGGGCGGAAGCCUGAUCCAGCCAUGCCGCGUGUGUGAAGAAGGUCUUCGGAUUGUAAAGCACGUUAAGUUGGGAGGAAGGGCAGUAAGUUAAUACCUUGCUGUUUUGACGUUACCAACAGAAUAAGCACCGGCUAACUUCGUG
RNAcentral lists this ribosomal RNA (484 nucleotides) under uncultured bacterium. RNAcentral's name for it is "partial 16S ribosomal RNA". It matches the Rfam family "Bacterial small subunit ribosomal RNA", at positions 30 to 507 of the family's 1533-position model. The record is from RNAcentral.